This 107-nucleotide small nuclear RNA is filed under the name Castor canadensis (American beaver). Lineage: Eukaryota; Metazoa; Chordata; Mammalia; Rodentia; Castoridae. The record is from RNAcentral.
UUGCCUACUUCAGCAGCACAUAUAUUAAAAUUAUAAAGAUAUGGAGAAGACCAGCAUGGCCCCUGACCAAGAAUGACACAGAAAUUCUUGAAGCAUUCCAUAUUUUU